This 397-nucleotide ribosomal RNA is filed under the name Leptobrachella oshanensis (Oshan metacarpal-tubercled toad). Its description in RNAcentral is "partial 16S ribosomal RNA". It matches the Rfam family "Bacterial large subunit ribosomal RNA", at positions 1946 to 2519 of the family's 2925-position model. The record is from RNAcentral. Lineage: Eukaryota; Metazoa; Chordata; Amphibia; Anura; Megophryidae.
CCGUGCAAAGGUAGCGUAAUCACUUGUCUUUUAAAUAAAGACUAGUAUGAAUGGCAUCACGAGAACUAAUCUGUCUCCCUCCCCUAAUCAGUGAAACUGAUCUCCCCGUGCAGAAGCGGGGAUAAUAUCAUAAGACGAGAAGACCCUGUGGAGCUUCAAAUCAAAAAUCAACUGCUAUACCUCACCCUCUGAGGACAUACUUCCAUAGACUUGACAUAGAUUUUUAGCUGGGGCGGCUGUGGAGAAAAAAAUAUCCUCCACGAAAUUCUACACCGAGGGCUACUGCCCUAAGUAGUAAUAAAUUAAUUUAAUUGACCCAAUUUUUGAUCAACGAACCAAGUUACCCCAGGGAUAACAGCGCAAUCCACUUUAAGAGUCCAUAUCGACAAGUGGGCUU